AUAAACAUGCUCUGUGAGUGGGAGAAUUCGAAUGCUGCAUGCCAGCUGACUUUCUGUCACCCACACUGACCCUCUCAAUACUGCAUGCUGAGCUCCACUAACUCCCAUACUAUGUAAUUGAUGGAGUGGAACAAACUUCACAGCAAGUUAAAUGCAGACUUUAUUCAAGCUCCAAGGGACUUGGAAAGACCUUCAGCCCAGUCAGCCCAGAUGAGCCCACCUCUGUGAGCCCCUUGAUUUGGAAUGGCGGCUUGUAUGUCUGUGUCAACAGGAAGCUCACUGCAUUGUGACUCAGGUGAGGAGGCCUGCCCUGGGAGCAAACUCCUCUGCAGCCAUCAUCACGACAGGCACAGCACAAGGGUAAGCCCUGGACCAAGCCACAAAGGUAGCAAGAUUGGUUUUCGGAGUUUCUCGUAGGCUGUUCUUCUUGCCUUCUGUCACACUCACUCCAUCAGGGCCUGUUUGCUGCCCAGAUGAGCCACACACAUCGGCUGGAUGAAAUGAAACUUGCCCUUCUUGUCCUACAUGUCUGUAUCUAAAAGUAUACAUUUUGGAAAGAGGCCUUAUUAAUCUAAAUACUUUUUAUUUUAAGGUUCCACAUUUUCCCAAAUGUAUGAGCCUCUAACCUAAGACAUGUCCAAAAGUUCUUUACUUACAGGGACAUGAUCUAGGGGCUUAGAGGGCCCUGGAAAAGUAAGAUAAUAUAUUUUAAAGACCCAAUUUUACACAAAAGAACAAAAAGAGGAAGAACUAUAGCAGAAUGCCACUGCUGUGGAUUCAGACUUCACCUCCCUGCCCACGGAGAUGAUUGAAGGGGAAAAAGGACAGAACAUGAAACUAACAAGCUUGAGGCCUUAUCAGUGUCUAUAUUGGCAAAUUGAGGAGCGAUGCACUCCCCAAGUUCCAGGAAGUGUUUACGAGUCAGCGCGUGAUUUCCUGUGCUCACGCCCAUGGCUGCCACAUCUGGGGAAGCAUGUGUUGACGUGGAGCUGCCACAAGAUCAGCACCUCCUGGAGUGAUGGGCUGCAGCCCCGAGAAGGUGGCCCUGGAGAGUUCUGGGAGCCAAAGCAAAAGUGGCAUGAACAAGAAAUACAUUUUGCUGUGCCACAUCAGCUGAAUGUUUUUCUACCAAUGCAUAAGAUCUACCAGCCACAGACAGGCACUGUUUUUAGAUGGUCUUGAGGCAUCUCAUUUUACAAAGGAUAUAGAAACAGACGGAUGCUAUAUAGAAACUGGUGGAGUGGGGUGGAAGAGAAGACAGAAGACAAGGGUUAUAAUUUAAUCAUAUAAACUCUGGAUGCAAUAACCAAGGUCUCCCCAGAAAGCUGUCAGUGUAUACUUGUGUGGUGAGUAGAUUUCUAAUCAGCUCUAGAAGGGUGGCCAAACACAGCUAAACUGUGUCUUUUAGUAGCAGGAAAAGCAUCUGCUAUAGUUUAGAUGUUUGUCCCCCAAACUCCAUAUUGAAAUUUGACCCCCAAUAUUGGAUGGGGGCCUAAGGGGAGGUGUUUGGAUCCUGAGGACAGAUCCCUCAUGAAUGUCUUGGUACUGUCCUCACAGUGAAGAGUGAGUUCUCACACUAUCAGCUCCCUUGAGAAACUGGUUGUCAAAACAAGCCUGGCACUCCCCAUCCCCUCACCACGUGGUCUCUGCACACACGAGCUUCCAUUCACUUUUCAUCAUGUAUGGAACCAACCCGAGGACCUCAUUGGAAAGAGAGUGGAUGCUGGCACCAUGCUUCUUGUUCAGCCUGCAGAACUGGGAGACAACAUAAACCUCUUUCCUUUAUAACUUACCCAGACUUGAGUAUUUCUUUGUAGCAAUACAAACAGACAAAGCAUCUGACAAGCAAGUUGUUCAAUGAAGAGAUUGUUAGAGCCUGGGGAAGAGUCAUCAUGUUCAAUUGGUACAAGAUGCAAUUAACUAAUAUGAUUUGGGACAGCUGUCUCCAUUGAGGUCACCAGGGUGUCAUGGAGUGAAGCUUCAGGAGGAAGAGCUGACUACUUCCUACCCUGGGCUCCAUUUUUGUCAGGGCUCUACAGAGAGACAGAACUGACAAGAUAUAAAGAGAGGAAUAAAACAAAAAUCCAGAUAUUUCUAUAAAUCCGAUUAUUUGCCAAAUUAAAUGUGAAAGCUUGCCUCUAUCUCUUUCCAUUGUGUGCAGAUAUUUUGCACAGUGUGGAUUUGGUCUCUAGGUGUGAGUGUGCCCUGGACACAAUGCAUAGUAGACAGACAUUGUGCUUCGUUGUAGACACUGUGCUAGGCACGUAUUACACAUUGCCCCAAAUCCUUAUCACAAACACAUCAGGAGUAUGAUGGCCAAGGAGGAAGCUGUGGCUCAGCCCAUUGAGGCUGUAUAUCCAGGGAUCAACAGCCAGUAAGUGGGUGUGCUGACUCCCAAGGCCAAAGCCCACCUACUUGCCAGGUAACUUUCUAGGGAUAUGAAGGCAUUCUAUGUUAUGAUGGUGUGUGUUACAUGAGUGUAUCUGUCUACCAAAAGUGUGCUUCCAUGAUUUAUGCAAUCAGAUAUGGGAUAUAAUGGUAACUCAUGUUUUUACCCAAGGAUUUUUUCAUCACCAUAAAACAUCACUUCUACUCAGCUUUAUUCUAAUGAUUUGAGGCAGAGUUUAAAAAUCUGUCAAAAUUAAAUAUAUUUUUAACAAAGUGAAGACAUCUAGACAAACAGACAAUGGGGUAGGAAAGAUGGAGCUAAAACCAGGGCUGAGUUUCAUUCACAGAUGGCUCGAGGUCCUACUCAAUUACUAGAAAUGGGCUAAAUAUUCACCUCUAAGCUUUCCAAUAAGCAACACAGUAGGAACAAUAUCAACGCAAUAGGCCUCAGAGUCCAUGAGAAAUAAACUAAACAGUUGCUUAGGGAAAGCAGAGCUAUUUCUGGUAAGAAAUUCAGAGAGAGUUUUCCUUUGAGUCUUCAUAAAGAAGACACUCUUCGAUGUAGGGCGCAGCAUUAACUACAUUCUUAUGCAAGUUGUAAAGGCUAAAUCUCAUAAAAUAUUUUAAUAUAGGCCAUAACACCAAGCAGCAAAAAUAGAGAACUAGAGGAUGGGGAGAUGGAAUUUGCUGUGUUUGGAAAUUAAUACGAUUAUUGGUUUUCUGUGUUCUCACUUAAUCCAGGGUUUUAAGGAAUCUAGAGAAAAAUCAGGAUUGAUGUUUUUCAUUAGUGCGUUUUCUUACAACUAAAGCUCUUGAACGCUCUGGGUGGUGGGGAGUUUGGGUUGCACUUGGCUUGUGAUGAGUUUCCCAGGGAGAUGCACUUCUCAGCUGGACCACCUGAGCACACCACCAGGAAAAGCUUUUGGGUAACCCCGGAGGCAGGAAAAUUUCCUAUGGGUGCUUUAUUCAGCUGUAGUCCUAUAAUCAGCCUUUCACAUAAUUUGAUAGAACUGACCAAUGUGAAAUGAAACUGUUAAUAAGAUCCCAAACUCUCCAGAGAAGAGGACUCUCUAUGGCUAGUAGAAACACCCAAAUUAAAAUAAUGGAAACCCAAUGGCCAUAGUUAGAGAAGGGUGGUCACGUGCCUUUUGUUUCUGAAGAGGGCAGUUCCAAACAAACAUGCUGUCUGUGCCUCUGAGCUAAGACAGUUCUUGUAAAGGGAGCUGAGGCACCAUGGCUGGAAAUCUCCUCCAACCAGCCUGAAAGGGCAUCCAAUAGACACUUAUGGUUUGGGGUUUAGAAAGUACCCAGUCAAGACUGUUAUUUUCAACCAAUCAGAAUUGAAUGUGUUCAAAUCAUUCAUUUACAUAUACAGACCUGAUUGAAGACUGUGACAGGAAUUUUCUUUAUUUAAGCCAGACCCUUUCUUUGUUCUCCAGAAUGUGCUUUUGUUUUCCACCAAAGCCUGUGUCUUCCCGAUACCUAGA
Molecule: long non-coding RNA, 3875 nt
Filed under: Homo sapiens (human)
Lineage: Eukaryota; Metazoa; Chordata; Mammalia; Primates; Hominidae
Description: HSALNT0265817
Source: RNAcentral